GUGAACGCUGGCGGUAGGCCUAACACAUGCAAGUCGAACGGCAGCACAGUAAGAGCUUGCUCUUACGGGUGGCGAGUGGCGGACGGGCGAGGAAUACAUCGGAAUCUACUUUUUCGUGGGGGAUAACGUAGGGAAACUUACGCUAAUACCGCAUACGACCUACGGGUGAAAGCAGGGGAUCUUCGGACCUUGCGCGAUUGAAUGAGCCGAUGUCGGAUUAGCUAGUUGGCGGGGUAAAGGCCCACCAAGGCGACGAUCCGUAGCUGGUCUGAGAGGAUGAUCAGCCACACUGGAACUGAGACACGGUCCAGACUCCUACGGGAGGCAGCAGUGGGGAAUAUUGGACAAAGGGCGCAAGCCUGAUCCAGCCAUACCGCGUGGGUGAAGAAGGCCUUCGGGUUGUAAAGCCCUUUUGUUGGGAAAGAAAAGCAGCAGGUUAAUACCCCGCUGUUCUGACGGUACCCAAAGAACAAGCACCGGCUAACUUCGUG
This 491-nucleotide ribosomal RNA is filed under the name uncultured bacterium. Its description in RNAcentral is "partial 16S ribosomal RNA". It matches the Rfam family "Bacterial small subunit ribosomal RNA", at positions 29 to 507 of the family's 1533-position model. The record is from RNAcentral.